This 2901-nucleotide ribosomal RNA is filed under the name Escherichia coli. RNAcentral describes it as "23S ribosomal RNA". It matches the Rfam family "Bacterial large subunit ribosomal RNA". The record is from RNAcentral. Lineage: Bacteria; Pseudomonadati; Pseudomonadota; Gammaproteobacteria; Enterobacterales; Enterobacteriaceae.
UUAAGCGACUAAGCGUACACGGUGGAUGCCCUGGCAGUCAGAGGCGAUGAAGGACGUGCUAAUCUGCGAUAAGCGUCGGUAAGGUGAUAUGAACCGUUAUAACCGGCGAUUUCCGAAUGGGGAAACCCAGUGUGUUUCGACACACUAUCAUUAACUGAAUCCAUAGGUUAAUGAGGCGAACCGGGGGAACUGAAACAUCUAAGUACCCCGAGGAAAAGAAAUCAACCGAGAUUCCCCCAGUAGCGGCGAGCGAACGGGGAGCAGCCCAGAGCCUGAAUCAGUGUGUGUGUUAGUGGAAGCGUCUGGAAAGGCGCGCGAUACAGGGUGACAGCCCCGUACACAAAAAUGCACAUGCUGUGAGCUCGAUGAGUAGGGCGGGACACGUGGUAUCCUGUCUGAAUAUGGGGGGACCAUCCUCCAAGGCUAAAUACUCCUGACUGACCGAUAGUGAACCAGUACCGUGAGGGAAAGGCGAAAAGAACCCCGGCGAGGGGAGUGAAAAAGAACCUGAAACCGUGUACGUACAAGCAGUGGGAGCACGCUUAGGCGUGUGACUGCGUACCUUUUGUAUAAUGGGUCAGCGACUUAUAUUCUGUAGCAAGGUUAACCGAAUAGGGGAGCCGAAGGGAAACCGAGUCUUAACUGGGCGUUAAGUUGCAGGGUAUAGACCCGAAACCCGGUGAUCUAGCCAUGGGCAGGUUGAAGGUUGGGUAACACUAACUGGAGGACCGAACCGACUAAUGUUGAAAAAUUAGCGGAUGACUUGUGGCUGGGGGUGAAAGGCCAAUCAAACCGGGAGAUAGCUGGUUCUCCCCGAAAGCUAUUUAGGUAGCGCCUCGUGAAUUCAUCUCCGGGGGUAGAGCACUGUUUCGGCAAGGGGGUCAUCCCGACUUACCAACCCGAUGCAAACUGCGAAUACCGGAGAAUGUUAUCACGGGAGACACACGGCGGGUGCUAACGUCCGUCGUGAAGAGGGAAACAACCCAGACCGCCAGCUAAGGUCCCAAAGUCAUGGUUAAGUGGGAAACGAUGUGGGAAGGCCCAGACAGCCAGGAUGUUGGCUUAGAAGCAGCCAUCAUUUAAAGAAAGCGUAAUAGCUCACUGGUCGAGUCGGCCUGCGCGGAAGAUGUAACGGGGCUAAACCAUGCACCGAAGCUGCGGCAGCGACGCUGAUGCGUUGUUGGGUAGGGGAGCGUUCUGUAAGCCUGCGAAGGUGUGCUGUGAGGCAUGCUGGAGGUAUCAGAAGUGCGAAUGCUGACAUAAGUAACGAUAAAGCGGGUGAAAAGCCCGCUCGCCGGAAGACCAAGGGUUCCUGUCCAACGUUAAUCGGGGCAGGGUGAGUCGACCCCUAAGGCGAGGCCGAAAGGCGUAGUCGAUGGGAAACAGGUUAAUAUUCCUGUACUUGGUGUUACUGCGAAGGGGGGACGGAGAAGGCUAUGUUGGCCGGGCGACGGUUGUCCCGGUUUAAGCGUGUAGGCUGGUUUUCCAGGCAAAUCCGGAAAAUCAAGGCUGAGGCGUGAUGACGAGGCACUACGGUGCUGAAGCAACAAAUGCCCUGCUUCCAGGAAAAGCCUCUAAGCAUCAGGUAACAUCAAAUCGUACCCCAAACCGACACAGGUGGUCAGGUAGAGAAUACCAAGGCGCUUGAGAGAACUCGGGUGAAGGAACUAGGCAAAAUGGUGCCGUAACUUCGGGAGAAGGCACGCUGAUAUGUAGGUGAAGCGACUUGCUCGUGGAGCUGAAAUCAGUCGAAGAUACCAGCUGGCUGCAACUGUUUAUUAAAAACACAGCACUGUGCAAACACGAAAGUGGACGUAUACGGUGUGACGCCUGCCCGGUGCCGGAAGGUUAAUUGAUGGGGUCAGCGCAAGCGAAGCUCUUGAUCGAAGCCCCGGUAAACGGCGGCCGUAACUAUAACGGUCCUAAGGUAGCGAAAUUCCUUGUCGGGUAAGUUCCGACCUGCACGAAUGGCGUAAUGAUGGCCAGGCUGUCUCCACCCGAGACUCAGUGAAAUUGAACUCGCUGUGAAGAUGCAGUGUACCCGCGGCAAGACGGAAAGACCCCGUGAACCUUUACUAUAGCUUGACACUGAACAUUGAGCCUUGAUGUGUAGGAUAGGUGGGAGGCUUUGAAGUGUGGACGCCAGUCUGCAUGGAGCCGACCUUGAAAUACCACCCUUUAAUGUUUGAUGUUCUAACGUUGACCCGUAAUCCGGGUUGCGGACAGUGUCUGGUGGGUAGUUUGACUGGGGCGGUCUCCUCCUAAAGAGUAACGGAGGAGCACGAAGGUUGGCUAAUCCUGGUCGGACAUCAGGAGGUUAGUGCAAUGGCAUAAGCCAGCUUGACUGCGAGCGUGACGGCGCGAGCAGGUGCGAAAGCAGGUCAUAGUGAUCCGGUGGUUCUGAAUGGAAGGGCCAUCGCUCAACGGAUAAAAGGUACUCCGGGGAUAACAGGCUGAUACCGCCCAAGAGUUCAUAUCGACGGCGGUGUUUGGCACCUCGAUGUCGGCUCAUCACAUCCUGGGGCUGAAGUAGGUCCCAAGGGUAUGGCUGUUCGCCAUUUAAAGUGGUACGCGAGCUGGGUUUAGAACGUCGUGAGACAGUUCGGUCCCUAUCUGCCGUGGGCGCUGGAGAACUGAGGGGGGCUGCUCCUAGUACGAGAGGACCGGAGUGGACGCAUCACUGGUGUUCGGGUUGUCAUGCCAAUGGCACUGCCCGGUAGCUAAAUGCGGAAGAGAUAAGUGCUGAAAGCAUCUAAGCACGAAACUUGCCCCGAGAUGAGUUCUCCCUGACUCCUUGAGAGUCCUGAAGGAACGUUGAAGACGACGACGUUGAUAGGCCGGGUGUGUAAGCGCAGCGAUGCGUUGAGCUAACCGGUACUAAUGAACCGUGAGGCUUAACCU